Molecule: ribosomal RNA, 448 nt
Filed under: uncultured bacterium
Lineage: Bacteria
Description: partial 16S ribosomal RNA
Rfam family: Bacterial small subunit ribosomal RNA
Source: RNAcentral
GUGGGGAAUAUUCCGCAAUGGGCGCAAGCCUGACGGAGCAACGCCGCGUGAAUGAAGACGGUCUUCGGAUUGUAAAGUUCUGUCAUUAGGGACGAAGGACUCAUGUAAAUAAUAUGAGGAAUGACGGUACCUAAGGAGGAAGCUCCGGCUAACUACGUGCCAGCAGCCGCGGUAAUACGUAGGGAGCAAGCGUUGUCCGGAAUUACUGGGCGUAAAGGGCGCGUAGGCGGAUAAUUAAGUCAGAUGUGAAAUCUCCAGGCUUAACUUGGAGCUAGCAUUUGGAACUUGUUAUCUUGAGGGCAGGAGAGGAAAGUGGAAUUCCUAGUGUAGCGGUGAAAUGCGUAGAUAUUAGGAGGAACACCAGUGGCGAAGGCGACUUUCUGGACUGAACCUGACGCUGAGGCGCGAAAGCAUGGGGAGCGAACGGGAUUAGAAACCCCAGUAGUCC